This 265-nucleotide RNase P RNA is filed under the name Chloroflexota bacterium. RNAcentral describes it as "Chloroflexi bacterium partial RNase P RNA component class A". It matches the Rfam family "Bacterial RNase P class A", at positions 1 to 272 of the family's 367-position model. Rfam says of the family: Ribonuclease P (RNase P) is a ubiquitous endoribonuclease, found in archaea, bacteria and eukarya as well as chloroplasts and mitochondria. Its best characterised activity is the generation of mature 5'-ends of tRNAs by cleaving the 5'-leader elements of precursor-tRNAs. Cellular RNase Ps are ribonucleoproteins. Lineage: Bacteria; Bacillati; Chloroflexota. The record is from RNAcentral.
CAAGGAGGCUGGGCGACCGCUGUUCCUUCGCAAGAUGGAAGAGAGGAAAGUCCGAGCUCCUCAGGGCUGGAUGCCCGCUAACGGCGGGGCGAGGCAACUCGACGGACAGUGCCACAGAAACAUACCGCCCGGACUACGGUCUGGGUAAGGGUGAAAAGGUGCGGUAAGAGCGCACCGCUCCGGUGGCAACAGCGGAGGACAAGGCAAACCCCAUCCGGAGCAAGGCCUAAUAGGGGGAUCACGGGUGCCCGUCCCUUCCCCGGGU